RNAcentral lists this ribosomal RNA (468 nucleotides) under uncultured bacterium. RNAcentral describes it as "partial 16S ribosomal RNA". It matches the Rfam family "Bacterial small subunit ribosomal RNA", at positions 28 to 508 of the family's 1533-position model. The record is from RNAcentral.
GACGAACGCUGGCGGCGUGCUUAACACAUGCAAGUCGAACGGAAAGGCCCUGCUUUUGUGGGGUGCUCGAGUGGCGAACGGGUGAGUAACACGUGAGUAACCUGCCCUUGACUUUGGGAUAACUUCAGGAAACUGGGGCUAAUACCGGAUAGGAGCUCCUGCUGCAUGGUGGGGGUUGGAAAGUUUCGGCGGUUGGGGAUGGACUCGCGGCUUAUCAGCUUGUUGGUGGGGUAGUGGCUUACCAAGGCUUUGACGGGUAGCCGGCCUGAGAGGGUGACCGGGAGCAUGGGGAGUGAAAGAGGGUCCAGGGUCAUACGCGAGGUAGCCGGGCGGAACGUGGCAGAUUGCGGGCGUCCCUGAUGCCGCAACGUUGCGGGGGGGAGGAGGGCAAGCGAGUUGUAGGCAUAUUCAGCCACGGACGAAGCGUGAGUCAGCAGACGGGGUAUAGAAGCACAGCCACAUCCGAGC